UACGUAGGGGGCAAGCGUUGUCCGGAAUCAUUGGGCGUAAAGCGCGUGUAGGCGGCCCGAUAAGUCCGCUGUGAAAGUCCAGGGCUCAACCCUGGAAUGCCGGUGGAUACUGUCGGGCUCGAGUCCGGAAGAGGCGAGUGGAAUUCCUGGUGUAGCGGUGAAAUGCGCAGAUAUCAGGAGGAACACCGAUGGCGAAGGCAGCUCGCUGGGACGGUACUGACGCUGAGACGCGAAAGCGUGGGGAGCAAGCAGG
RNAcentral lists this ribosomal RNA (253 nucleotides) under uncultured bacterium. RNAcentral describes it as "partial 16S ribosomal RNA". It matches the Rfam family "Bacterial small subunit ribosomal RNA", at positions 524 to 776 of the family's 1533-position model. The record is from RNAcentral.